RNAcentral lists this ribosomal RNA (585 nucleotides) under uncultured bacterium. RNAcentral describes it as "partial 16S ribosomal RNA". It matches the Rfam family "Bacterial small subunit ribosomal RNA", at positions 355 to 1375 of the family's 1533-position model. The record is from RNAcentral.
UGGGGAAUUUUGGACAAUGGGCGAAAGCCUGAUCCAGCAAUGCCGCGUGUGUGAAGAAGGCCUUCGGGUUGUAAAGCACUUUUGUCCGGAAAGAAAUCCUUGGCUCUAAUACAGUCGGGGGAUGACGGUACCGGAAGAAUAAGCACCGGCUAACUACGUGCCAGCAGCCGCGGUAAUACGUAGGGUGCAAGCGUUAAUCGGAAUUACUGGGCGUAAAGCGUGCGCAGGCGGUUUGCUAAGACCGAUGUGAAAUCCCCGGGCUCAACCUGGGAACUGCAUUGGUGACUGGCAGGCUAGAGUAUGGCAGAGGGGGGUAGAAUUCCACGUGUAGCAGUGAAAUGCGUAGAGAUGUGGAGGAAUACCGAUGGCGAAGGCAGCCCCCUGGGCCAAUACUGACGCUCAUGCACGAAAGCGUGGGGAGCAAACAGGAUUAGAUACCCUGGUAGUCCACGCCCUAAACGAUGUCAACUAGUUGUUGGGGGUUCAUUUCCUUAGUAACGUAGCUAACGCGUGAAGUUGACCGCCUGGGGAGUACGGUCGCAAGAUUAAAACUCAAAGGAAUUGACGGGGUCAUAGCUGUUUCCU